GACGAACGCUGGCGGCGUGCCUAAUACAUGCAAGUUGAGCGCUGAAGGUUGGUACUUGUACCAACUGGAUGAGCAGCGAACGGGUGAGUAACGCGUGGGGAAUCUGCCUUUGAGCGGGGGACAACAUGUGGAAACGAAUGCUAAUACCGCAUAAAAACUUUAAACACAAGUUUUAAGUUUGAAAGAUGCAAUUGCAUCACUCAAAGAUGAUCCCGCGUUGUAUUAGCUAGUUGGUGAGGUAAAGGCUCACCAAGGCGAUGAUACAUAGCCGACCUGAGAGGGUGAUCGGCCACAUUGGGACUGAGACACGGCCCAAACUCCUACGGGAGGCAGCAGUAGGGAAUCUUCGGCAAUGGACGAAAGUCUGACCGAGCAACGCCGCGGGAGUGAAGAAGGUUUUCGGAUCGUAAAACUCGGUUGGUAGAGAAGAACGUUGGUGAGAGUGGAAAGCUCAUCAAGUGACGGUAACUACCCAGAAAGGGACGGCUAACUACGUG
This 497-nucleotide ribosomal RNA is filed under the name uncultured bacterium. Its description in RNAcentral is "partial 16S ribosomal RNA". It matches the Rfam family "Bacterial small subunit ribosomal RNA", at positions 28 to 507 of the family's 1533-position model. The record is from RNAcentral.